Molecule: long non-coding RNA, 1244 nt
Organism: Ictalurus punctatus (channel catfish)
Lineage: Eukaryota; Metazoa; Chordata; Actinopteri; Siluriformes; Ictaluridae
Source: Ensembl
AUGCUGCCGUAAGCGGAGCCUCGGAGAGCCAGGAGAGCGGCAUCUCCUCCUCCUCCACCACCACCACAGAUGCCCGUCGUGCCGGUGUGUAUGGCUGUAGUCGGAUCAGUUGCCCCCAUCGGUGUUUAACAAAAAAAAAUAAAAAUAACCUGGAUCUCGGGGCCAAAAGAGUUCACGCCUCCGCUGACCAAAAGACCCGUAAAGUCCAGACAUGGCGGUCCGAGGGCACGCGCUUUCCCUGCACAGCUCACAGCAUCCUUAUCACCGACCCCAUCGCUUCUCCUGACCAUGAGAUCCCCAGCUCAACUCAAAGCGCCUUCGAUUUUUUCCCCCACAAAGCGGAGCCGGUCUCUCUCUCUGCUUCCUUCAGCAUUUGGAGACCAAAAGCAGACAGAGAACCCGAGUCAUGAGUCUUGGCAUGAUCUAAAUCUUUAAGGAUGUGAAUACCGAGCUUUACUUCUUUUUCUUUUUUUUUCUUUCUUCAUUCUUUCCUUCUUUCUUUCUUUCUUUCUUUCUUUUUUUUUUGUUGCUGUAGAUUAUUUUUGGAGGCUUGUUUUGUUUUGAAGUUUGCCAUGAAACUUGCUUGAGUUAUUGAUCCUUUUCAGUAUUAGCAUUUAUGGAUUAAGUAUCAAGCCUGUAGCCUGGUUUAUGUAACAUAAACAGAAAGGUAACAGUAAAAAGGAAUUGUAGUUGGUGUCAUUGAUCUGCAUUGCUGCACUAUUUCCAGCUGGACUACAUUAUAUAGAAAAUGCACUCUGGUUUUAUUUGAUGUAAAAUAUAAACGUACUUGUUCUUCCAUCACACUAUUUAACUCAGUUAUUUAAAAUAUAUUUGACUUAUAAAAGUGACUCAGAUCAAAUCUCACCUACUCGUUUUUCCCCUAAAAAAAAACAUUAUUUAGACACAGAAAAACAAACUGCAGUCCUAAUAAAGCAUCAGGCCUGUUCAUAAUGAUAUAUUUAUCUUCUCCAUUAUUCGUAUUCAUGAUCAUUUCUGCCCUUCUCUCUCUCUCUCUCUCUCUCUCUCUCUCUCUCUCUCUCUCUCUCUCUCUCUCUCAUACACACACGUCAUUAACACUGAGAUAUGUUUUGUUGUUGUUGUGCUCAUGAUUAUUUGAUCGUGGAACAUCUGAAAUAUGUGAAAAUGAUUAUCUGGAGCGUUUAUAUUUGUGAGCUGGAGAUAUUUUGCUGGGUUAAAACGAGCAUGUGUCGAGCAAUCCGCCUCGUCUUGUAUGAUGAUUUUUU